GGUUGUGGCUCAGGGGUAGAGUGCUUGCCUAGCAUGCAUGAGGCACUAGGUUCGAUCCUCAGCACCA
RNAcentral lists this transfer RNA (67 nucleotides) under Marmota monax (woodchuck). RNAcentral's name for it is "tRNA.Ala". The record is from RNAcentral. Lineage: Eukaryota; Metazoa; Chordata; Mammalia; Rodentia; Sciuridae.